GCUGAAGGAGGAGCUUGCUUCUCUGGAUGAGUUGCGAACGGGUGAGUAACGCGUAGGUAACCUGCCUGGUAGCGGGGGAUAACUAUUGGAAACGAUAGCUAAUACCGCAUAAGAGUAGAUGUUGCAUGACAUUUGCUUAAAAGGUGCACUUGCAUCACUACCAGAUGGACCUGCGUUGUAUUAGCUAGUUGGUGGGGUAACGGCUCACCAAGGCGACGAUACAUAGCCGACCUGAGAGGGUGAUCGGCCACACUGGGACUGAGACACGGCCCAGACUCCUACGGGAGGCAGCAGUAGGGAAUCUUCGGCAAUGGACGGAAGUCUGACCGAGCAACGCCGCGUGAGUGAAGAAGGUUUUCGGAUCGUAAAGCUCUGUUGUAAGAGAAGAACGAGUGUGAGAGUGGAAAGUUCACACUGUGACGGUAUCUUACCAGAAAGGGACGGCUAACUACGUGCCAGCAGCCGCGGUAAUACGUAGGUCCCGAGCGUUGUCCGGAUUUAUUGGGCGUAAAGCGAGCGCAGGCGGUUAGAUAAGUCUGAAGUUAAAGGCUGUGGCUU
Molecule: ribosomal RNA, 558 nt
Filed under: uncultured Streptococcus sp.
Lineage: Bacteria; Bacillati; Bacillota; Bacilli; Lactobacillales; Streptococcaceae
Description: bacterial SSU rRNA
Rfam family: Bacterial small subunit ribosomal RNA
Source: RNAcentral